CUAGACUUGCCGAAGGCGGCGACUCACUUGACGCUGUGGAAGGCGGACCUGGCGGACGAGGGCAGCUUCGACGAAGCCAUUAAGGGAUGCACCGGUGUGUUCCAUGUCGCCACACCUAUGGAUUUUGAGUCCAAGGACCCUGAGGUACUUAUACACAUAACCAAGCAACUUUUACCUGGUAUUUAUUGUGCCAAUCAUUUCUAGAGUAAUUGUGAUCAAAACAAACAAACGUCGACGGUGGUCACGGUGGUGGUGGGACUGGUGGAGCUAUAAUUAGUCGCCGGAAUAUCUUGUUUGUUAGAUCGUCAAAAACUUAGCAGUCGAUCAAAAAAAGUCAACUUACAAUGAGACAGAAGAUGAUUUUUUUUGGUAAAAGACAGAAGAUGAUUAGGUUUGGUAGCUUUGACAGACUACCAUUAUACAUUUAAAAAAAAAAAAACCAAUAAUGGGCAUUCCAUAGUUCUGUUUUAUAUAAAAGUUCUAUUAUACUAACAACAAAAGGCUACCACUAUUACUAUGUGAUAUAACGGUUCUUAAUUUUUUCUCUCUAAAUUAUCACCACCCACAAUCAUUUGCAAGUGUUUUGUCUUUUCGAUACUGCAAUACUAGUUAAGAAUUAGAAGUUGUAGUGUUCUUGAUAAUUUGUUUGGUUUGGCAGAAUGAAGUGAUAAAGCCAACAAUAAACGGGGUGUUAGACAUCAUGAAAGCAUGUCUGAAAGCAAAGACUGUGAGAAGGUUGGUGUUUACAGCUUCUGCUGGAUCUGUAAAUGUUGAAGAGACCCAAAAGCCGGUCUACAACGAAAGCAACUGGAGCGAUGUCGAAUUUUGCCGGAGAGUAAAGAUGACUGGUUGGGUAAGUACUAUACUGACAAAGAACAUGAAUGUGGAUCAAUGUAUUAGACACACAACUUCUUAAUAUUUGUUGCAAAACUCUAAUUCUGCACGUUAUUGUUCUGUUUCAGAUGUAUUUUGUAUCAAAAACUCUGGCUGAGCAAGAGGCAUGGAAGUUUGCAAAAGAAAACAACAUUGAUUUCAUUACCAUUAUACCAACUCUGGUCAUCGGUCCAUUUCUCAUGCCGGCUAUGCCGCCGAGUCUCAUUACCGGACUUUCGCCUCUAUUUGGUACCACUACUACUUCACAUUGUUGUUAAUCACUUGCAAAUUAGCGAUCAGUUACUUACAUCUGCUAAUAUUACUUGUAACAGGAAAUGAAGGUCAUUAUUCGAUCAUAAAGCAAGGCCAGUUUGUGCAUCUAGACGACCUCUGCCAGUCUCAUAUAUACUUGUACGAGCAUCCGAAAGCAGAGGGUCGCUACAUUUGUUCAUCGCACGAUGCUACGAUUCAUGAAAUUGGAAAAUUGCUAAGAGAAAAGUAUCCGGAAUACAAUGUUCCUACAAAGUAAGUAAUUCCGCCCUCUUGAUAACCCUGGUUAUAUUGCUGUUAAUGAGCAAUGAAUUGACAAAUUGGUUCUGUUCAGGUUCAAGGGCAUUGAAGAUAACUUGACAAAGGUCCAUUUUUCUUCAAAGAAAUUGUUGGAAACAGGGUUUGAGUUCAAGUACAGCUUGGAGGACAUGUUUGUAGGGGCAGUCGAUGCUUGUAAAGCAAAGGGUUUGCUUCCACCUCCUACUGAAAGAGUUGAGAAGCAGGAGAAUGGCGAUAGCAGUGUCGUCCAUGUCGAAGUCACUGGCUAACUAAAAUUGCCAGUGUUGGUUACAUUUUGUAUCUUGGCCUCAUUAAUCUAUGGCCUCAUUAAUCUAUCUUCUGUAUGUUGAGAGCUUCAAAUAAAUUGCUGUUUGAUUUUAUUGGUGUGCCUAAUGAGAAAUGUAAUUUUUUUUCUCCAUGUAAUUUGAGGUCACAUACGUAUAAAUAGUAGAGCAUAUGCGACUCACUAUCCAUAUAAUGAAAUAGUAGGACGUCUCAUUCAUCAUUAUCCAAAACUUGUUUAAUCGUUGUGUAAUUGCAUAGUGCUGGCCUGGAUACGUACUAGUUAAUUUCCAAGAGACUGAUACGUAUAAUCAGUAUCACAAUUGCGCUCCAAUUUCACUAUGAUAAUAAGUAAAUAAUUUCCAAAUGAUAGAAAUUGCCUUAAAUCAUAUGAUGGAUGACCUUUCCGGUCUGCUGGAUCCUGAGGUAUGCAUAUACUGAGGCUAUAUGAUGUACCUAAUAGCAAUGGCGAAGCCAGCUGAGGAUGAGUGGGGGCUGGUGCCCCCGAUAGAAUAUCAACAAGUGCUCACAUAAUGCAUAAUACAUUUGUGUUCCCACAAGAACAUACCAUUCUCUCCCACCAGCUGGAAAAAAAAGUGGUGAAACUCCACUGUUUUGUACCUGAAAAAAAUAUCCCAGCCUUUGUAGCCCGAUGAUUUUAUCUUCUUAACUUGAAGUUAGAGAACCUAUGAGUUCUGACAAAACUAUAGCCACAUAUUAAAGUAAAAAAGUAUUUAUUUUAACUACAAUUAAUCAAUAGGUGUUUGGAAUUUUUUAUUUUUUUUGCCCCCAACAAAGGAAUUGAAAUAAGCAAAUGAUUAAUUAGCAGACAAAUAUAUAUACUUGGAAGACUCUUAUGUGGACUCUUCUUUGAUGAAGACAACUAUUAUAUAAUAAUGAAGCCUUUCUAAUAAGGACCUUUAAGUUGGGGACUAGUUAAAGACUUUUCAGCUUAUUCACUUUUCAAUCUUAUAUCCACAUCUUGACCGUUCAGUUUAUAGGUAUUUAUGAGUAGAUUAUUUCUACAAAUUUUCAGUCAUAUUGAAAAUCGUUAAGACAUUCAUAAGUGUGAUUUACCAAUUAUGAACUUGAACGGUUCAUGUUUGACAUAUUUGGUUGAUCUAUUAAUUUGAUCUAUUUUGUUACCUUAACGAUCACCGAUUUGGCUGAAAAUUUGUAGGGUUGAUCUACAUAUAUAGACCUAAUAACUGAACGGAUGAGAUGUCAAGAUGUGAUAGAAAAAUAUGUCUUUUAAACCAUAAACUAAAAAGUCUUCAACUAGUCUUUAACUUAAGGGUCUCACGUACUAUAAUGACUCCCUAUAUAUUAAUAUAUUAAUACAGUAUAUGAUACUUCAAUUAUUGCAUAUACUUUUGGACGGAGAACUAUUAGCUAGGGGUUAUAACAAUAAUGAACAUGUCUUAAUAUGGUUUGCAUUUUAUUGGCAGAAUGAUCGAAGUGAUCGAUAAAGCCAACAAUAAAUUGGUAUGUAAUAGAAAUCAUAAAGCAUGUCACAAAGCUAUCAAAGAGUACUGUUCGGAGAUCGAGUGGUGUUUAUACAUCUUCGGCCGGAACUGUCUGCUGUUGAAGAGCGCAUCCUAAGGCGGUAUAUACACGAACCCUAAUUGAUUACAGUAUCAUCGUAUAUACCAACUCUUGUAAUCGGUCGAUUUCCUUAACUGAACUUUCACCUCUAUGUCAUCAACCCUGGUAUCAUCAUCAGUGGAGUGAGUGGUGAAAGACUGAAAGUCCAAUUACGAGCGAGGCUAGCUUGAUGGCACAUAGAUGAUGCGAGAAAUGAACUGAUUAAUUACAAGAUUUGGUAUAUAUAAUGGUAAUGUAAUUAUUGUUGUUUCCUCUGGCAAACUUCCAUGCAUGCUGCUUUGCUCGGCUGGAAUUUUGGAUGCAAAUUACAUCUCAACAAACCAAAAUCAAAUCCAAAAUUAGGGUUUGUGAACAGAAUAAGAAACUAUCGAAUAAUAGAUCAGGGCCCGACAUUGCCCACCUCGUAACUUUGUACUGAGAUUUGAUAGCAAUGCUCCCAAAAGUCACUUGAUUUAUUAGAUUUAGUUCGUUAUUAUUAUUAUUAUUAUUUUAAGAUGGAUUCAUGUAACAUGAUUCUAUCUUGUGAUUAUUUUAUGCUACAUGCAAGUAAAACGAUGAUAUGUUCUAGAUCCUCUUAAUUUCAACAUUCCACAUAGCACAUACACUGUAUAGGAGAAUUUUCCAAUUCCUAAUUAAUGCAUUAUAGGAGAAUUUUCCAAUUCCUAAUUAAUGCAGGAUUAUAGGAUAAUUUUCCAAUUCCUAAUGCAGGAUUGGAUAGACGUCGUGAUCGAAGUGCGUACCUAUUAAUUGUUUGACAAGGAUGUACGUACCAAUGAGAUCUUACUUAGGAAUUUGAGUCAAGGCUAGCUAGCUACCUAAUUAAAAUAAUUCAGCAAUGAAAAAGAAGCAUAUAUAAGAUGGAACUCACGGAAGGGAAGGAUUGAAAAUAGGAGGCUUAGGAGCGCCGAUAGCGGAUAACAACCACCACCGCACCACGCAUGUUGAAAACCAGGAGUCAGGUGCAGCUACCACUCAUACAUGUGCAAACAGCCAUGAACAAGCUAGACCAGAUCGAUGAUGAUAUAUAUCUAUAUAUAUGCCGCCAUCCCGGACAGUAUCCAAUACUCCACGGCACUAACUAGCUAGGCAUGGGGUUGGGAGCAGAAUCCGGAUCCGUUUGUGUGACGGGCGCCUCCGGUUUCGUCGGUUCAUGGCUCGUCAUGAGACUCCUCGAGCGCGGCUACACCGUCCGAGCCACCGUGCGAGACCCUGGUCCGAUCCGUCGAUUCAAUUAACUAACCUUGCAUGCUUAAUUUGACGGAUAUCAUAUCAUGUUAACCAGAUAAUGUUUGUGACUGUAACAUGCAGCUAAUUUGAAGAAGGUGAGACAUCUGCUGGAGUUACCACAGGCGGCCACGCUACUGACGCUGUGGAAGGCGGACCUGGACAUCGAGGGAAGCUUUGAUGAGGCCAUUAAGGGAUGCACCGGAGUGUUUCAUGUCGCCACGCCUAUGGAUUUCGAGUCCGAGGACCCUGAGGUAUAUAGCAGCUAAUGGGAGGGAUUGAAAGCCAGUAAUCAUUAAGUAGCAGAUAAAUAGAACCAGAUCGACUAGAUUUUCUUUAGAUUUAACUAUAUAGAAUACUUCAUUUACAAGUAUCUUAUACAGAGAUCGAACUAGGUACUUAUAUACUUGUAGUGAAAUGUGAAGUGUUGAUUAAUUUGGUUGGCACUUAAUUGGCAG
This 4991-nucleotide long non-coding RNA is filed under the name Fragaria vesca (wild strawberry). Its description in RNAcentral is "long non-coding RNA (FVES_LNC001079)". Lineage: Eukaryota; Viridiplantae; Streptophyta; Magnoliopsida; Rosales; Rosaceae. The record is from RNAcentral.